CAUCCAGCAUGCACAAUUACAGUUCAGAUAAGUUGGGAACAUUUUACAAUAUAGUUAAGUUGAUUUUUUUUUCUAGCUCCCCAGUUUUGGCUAAUUACUUUUUACAAGUCAGUUGGCAAUUUGCUAUAACUCUAUCAUUAGCAAAUAAACCUAUUUAAAAUAUAAACUACCUCUUAAAUGGAAUGCAACAUUGCAUCAGUGUUAAUUUAUUGAUAUGUAGUUAGGUGUUUUUUCACUAUAAUUUCCUGACAAUUUUUCAAUGGCUAAAUCAUAAAACAAAACCAAAAGAGUUACCUAUGCAUUAUUCAAAAUGUCCAUGACUAUUUACAUAACAAAGGUUUUGGUGCCACUGCAAUGGUCAAGUCAUUGCAGUUGUACCAAACAAAUUAAUCCUAACUUGGGCACACAAGGGCAAGCUACUUCAUUGUAAUAAAAUUAAUAAAUAAAAAAGAAAUUAGUUUGGCUAAUUUUUAAAGAUGCAUAACAAUACCGACUUCUAUUUCAUUUGAGAGUUUACCAUUUAGGUGAAUACUGCAAGGUGCAUAGUUAGGUUAGGAAACAGUCUUUACAUUGACAGGUGAGCAAAACUUUAAUGGUCAUUGCAGUAGUUUAAAAAAAACACUGUUAUUUAAAUAGACAUAGAGAUUUGAGACAGUUAGAAAGUAACUUUUUGGGUUUUGUUUUUUAAACAUUUUGGCUGAUAAAUAUUAAUUUAGUGACACCCAAAAAAUGGUUUCCAGGAAUAAAGAUGUUUGUUGUAUUUAGCACAAUAUAAAACAAAUUAACC
Non-coding RNA from Pelobates cultripes (western spadefoot toad), 787 nucleotides. NCBI's taxonomy places the organism in Eukaryota, Metazoa, Chordata, Amphibia, Anura, Pelobatidae. The record is from the annotation of a GenBank genome assembly.